This 550-nucleotide ribosomal RNA is filed under the name uncultured bacterium. RNAcentral describes it as "partial 16S ribosomal RNA". It matches the Rfam family "Bacterial small subunit ribosomal RNA", at positions 355 to 895 of the family's 1533-position model. The record is from RNAcentral.
UGGGGAAUUUUGGACAAUGGGCGAAAGCCUGAUCCAGCAAUGCCGCGUGUGUGAAGAAGGCCUUCGGGUUGUAAAGCACUUUUGUCCGGAAAGAAAUCCUUGGCUCUAAUACAGUCGGGGGAUGACGGUACCGGAAGAAUAAGCACCGGCUAACUACGUGCCAGCAGCCGCGGUAAUACGUAGGGUGCAAGCGUUAAUCGGAAUUACUGGGCGUAAAGCGUGCGCAGGCGGUUUGCUAAGACCGAUGUGAAAUCCCCGGGCUCAACCUGGGAACUGCAUUGGUGACUGGCAGGCUAGAGUAUGGCAGAGGGGGGUUAGAAUUCCACGUGUAGCAGUGAAAUGCGUAGAGAUGUGGAGGAAUACCGAUGGCGAAGGCAGCCCCCUGGGCCAAUACUGACGCUCAUGCACGAAAGCGUGGGGAGCAAACAGGAUUAGAUACCCUGGUAGUCCACGCCCUAAACGAUGUCAACUAGUUGUUGGGGACUUCAUUUUCCUUAGUAACGUAGCUAACGCGUGAAGUUGACCGCCUGGGGAGUACGGUCGCAAGAUU